UAGAUAGGACUAGGACGGGACGAGACAAUAUGGAACGGAAUGGAGAGCGAGCAAUGAUGUCUUCGGAUGGAAAUAAGAAGGAAGAAAAAGGAGAUGAAGAAGUUAUAAUUUUGUGUUCCAGUAGAACGAGUCGUUUCAGGAGGUUAGAUGAAACGAAAAUUCAUCCAAAAUUCAUUCGUGAAACAACCGUUUCACCCGUUUUAAGCACAUCAAACGUGAGACGAAACUCCUCGUCCUCCCCUGUUCCGUCCGUCCGACGUAUCAAACGGUACCUCACCUUACCAUCAUCCGUCUGCUUCCAAUUGCUUCCUUCUGAAACCUCACAUUUUCUGCUUUGCUUCCAUUUGUCAGGAUUUCUAUUUGCUUCCAGUUGCUUCCGUUUGCUUUCAUUUGCUUCAUCUCUCCUGAAAUGAAAAAAAAAAACCUGCGUUCAUCCAACCCUAGAAUCCCGAAACCAAAAUUCAUCCAGAUCAUUCCAAUCUCCAACGGAAAAUCGAAAUAUCCAGUCGAUUGAUUCUCUCUUUAAAAUACCCACUCAUCGUUGCCUUAUCUCUGAUGAUUCAAUUGGCUGACGACGACUUCUAGGAUUCUAGCUCGACUUCUCUUUCAAAACUCAGCUCGAGUCCUCGGAUGCCCGAUUUCCGACAAGGCGAUUUCGGCUAAUGACCAGAGAACUAGACCUCGCUACUAUCGGAUUCCUGAGUAAAUUUGGUUUUCGUUUGUUUGGGGAUUUUGUUUCCAGUAUCCGUUUUUCGACUGGUUAUUCAUCUCUGUAAAGCUAGAUUUGUAAACGUUUUUUCUGUUGUUUUGCAAGGAACCAGAGCCUUUCCAUGCUCGAGCUCCACAGGUAUGGCACCGCUCUUUUACAUGGUUUUGCUUUGAUUCCAGUUUUUUUCCAAGUUUUUUUUCCAAGGCUGACGUGCCGAUUCUCUGCGAGGAUUGCAAUGGGAGAGGGUGGCUGCUCUGUGAUUUUUGCAAAGGGCAGAAAAUGAAUGUGAAAUCUGAGACCAAUCGAAUCUACGGCCGAUGCCCAUCUUGCAGAACUGUGAGUUUUGAACUCCUCCUCACAAUAGAAAGCCCAAUAACUUCUUGCUUCAGAGGGAAAACGGAGGAAGAGAGAGAAUAAAAUUCUGUAUUUAUCAGGGACUUUGUACAUAUUCCAUGCAUUUUUGCAACUGGAAUCAUUUGGAAGAGCUUGCUGAAAAAUGGCUCCGUCUUUGUUUUCAGAAUUGAGUGAAUGUUUCUUCAUUGCCGAUGCCCCAUUCUUCAUUGUUGGCAAAAUUAUAAUUUGGCAUAUACUUUAACAGUUUAACUUAUUUAUGAACUUCCAAAAUUCAAUACGUAUCAUCGAAUUGCACAUGAUUUACACUUUUAGCUAUAUCUAUUAGUACUGAGUGAAGUACAACUGCCAAUAGAGAACAAUGUGAAAAGUUUGGACAUGGAAAACCAAGAUAUUUUUUGUGUGUAAUAUAUUCUGCACACAUCUUUUUUACUUUAUUGAACAUAAGGAUGUAAAUAGAUUUGGAUCUAAAUGUAAAUAGAUUUUAAUAUA
Molecule: non-coding RNA, 1552 nt
Organism: Malus domestica (apple)
Lineage: Eukaryota; Viridiplantae; Streptophyta; Magnoliopsida; Rosales; Rosaceae
Source: RefSeq, a predicted model, not a curated record